GAGUUUGAUCCUGGCUCAGAGCGAACGCUGGCGGCGUGCCUAACACAUGCAAGUCGAACGUGAAAUGUAGCAAUACAGAGUAAAGUGGCGCACGGGUGAGUAACACGUAGGUAAUCUACCUUACAGUUCGGAAUAACCUGCCGAAAGGCGGGCUAAUACUGGAUAGAGCGAGGAAUCCGUAAUUGGUUUUUUCGGGAAAGGGAGCUCGAUAAGAGCCUUCGCUGUAAGAUGAGCCUGCGUCCCAUUAGUUAGUUGGUGAGGUAAUGGCUCACCAAGACGAUGAUGGGUAGCUGGUCUGAGAGGAUGAUCAGCCACACUGGAACUGAAACACGGUCCAGACUCCUACGGGAGGCAGCAGUGGGGAAUCUUGCGCAAUGGACGAAAGUCUGACGCAGCCACGCCGCGUGAGUGAAGAAGGCC
This 420-nucleotide ribosomal RNA is filed under the name uncultured delta proteobacterium. RNAcentral's name for it is "bacterial SSU rRNA". It matches the Rfam family "Bacterial small subunit ribosomal RNA", at positions 9 to 416 of the family's 1533-position model. The record is from RNAcentral. Lineage: Bacteria; Deltaproteobacteria.